ACAAAAAAAAACUCAGACAACCAAAGAAAAGAGGGAGCAAAGGGAAGUGGAUAUAUUCCAAGGGUUGUUGACCCCCCUUUCUGCUUCCAAUGAUUUUCAUUUUUGCCCUCUUAUUUUCUCAACAACCCUUUCGAUCAAUCGAUCUGUACGCUGUUUCUACUACUUACUUUCUUUUCAUUCCCUUUGUGGGAUGGUGAAUAUAUAAUGACAGACAGAUACAUAGAUAGAACAGAUACUGCUCAAUCUGAGAUUAUGCUUUGCUGGCUUAUUCUUGUUUCUUGACUACUUUCUGCUUACCAAAAAUAUCCUCCUUUUUUUAGAGGCAGUGAUGAUACUUAAAAAAUUAAAAUAAUAUUAUUAUUAUUUGUUGUUGUCUGAGUAAAUCGGGGCGAAGUUUGAGAAUUACCGUAUCUUGGCGGGGUAAUUUUCUAGAGGUUUCAAUAUAAUGUUACCGUCCGUGAUGAUAAUUGCAGCCAUGGCGGUUUAUUCCUCUUUGUUCCGAUUAUUAUUAACACAUCUGAGCCUCCAUCAUAUUUUUUUAAUUAAUUUUUCUUGUGACUUCCGAUGUAAUAAUGUAAAAUUUAUAAAUGUACUAAAAGUUUUAUUCAUUCACAACAAAUUUACAUUUUUUUAUUGCAUAGUGUAAUGUUGUUGGGGAGUUUUUGCUCAAAAGUGGAUGAGGCUCCAAAAUCAAGUAUGAACCCAUGAUUUUCACCUUCUCCGUCUCUAUAUAUUCACACAAACACAUUAUAUUAUCAGAUGACCCUGACAAAAUGGACGGAGUUUUAGAAUCUCGUAUUGGGGCAAAUACUAUAAUGUCAUUAGUUUUUAAGGAAAAAAAUAGUAUUGCAUUCGAUGUCUCAUGCAUAUAGUACUUGAAUUAUUGCGUUGAAUUAUUGUCCUUUAUAGCUCAAAGUCGAAUAGCGAACAAUUUUAUAUGAUUUAUGGCUAGGUGUUUAACUUGAUCUUACAUUCUUACUUACUAUACUUCAUAUUAUUCUUAUUGAAAAAAAACUUUGAGAUGUCACCGUUAUUGAGUUUGACUCUCUGAAGUGACAAGUUUAUGGGUUUAUAUCCUUGAAUAAAACUCUUUAACCUACAGCGAGCCACAGUGUUGUGUUGGGGCUGGUCCACUGUAUGGUUUGGUUCGGUGUUCCCUAAAAGUCGAUUUUUGACUGACUCUUGAAAAAAAAAAAAGAUGUGGUUAUACACUGACAUUACUGGAUCAUCAUUUACUCAUUUUGUAUUCUAUUCUAUAAGCGAAAUAACAAUCUUUGCUCCUUAAUAACCAAUUCAUAACUUUUGUGUUUUAUCCUCAUUUUGUUACUUUUCAUUUUUAUUUGAAAUUAUCUGUAAAUAUUUCUUUCAAGCUAUACAUUGAUUGGUAGUGCAGUGGCUGCUGGCAAAGUGGAGGACUCAUUGUUUCUUGUGGCUAAGAAAGAUAUUGGUUACAUGUCGAACUGCUGAGGAAGUGUUGAUAAGUUCAGACACGAAGCUGAAAAACUCAAGCUACUAGACCAAAUGCACAUUUGAGGCCAUCUGCCUUGUUUAUUCUGAUGAUGACUGGGUGUCGAGGUUAUCUGGAUUUGAGUUUUCUAUCAAACGUGCAGUUGAACAGCAAAGCCAAAAUUUCCUCUCAGAUGAAGCAAUUGGCACUGAAGGGUAUAUGGAUCCGACUUAUUUGAAACAUGGAGGUGUGACUCACAACUCUGACAUCUACUCUUUAGGCGUCGUUCUAUUUGAAUUGCUGUAUUGUUGCUGGGAAUUUUGCUCAAAAGUGAGUGAGGUUCUGACCAGUCUAAUCUGUUGCCAUUUGAUCGGAGAUAUUUUUCAAAAUCAAGUAUGAGCCUACAAACAGAUAAUAUUAUGCUCACUUGAUCUUAAUCUUAAUGUUAGUCAUAAUCAAGCUAGUAGACCAAAUGCUCAUUUGAGGCGAUUUGCCUUGUUUAUUCUGUACUACUAUUGUUACUAUUA
This is a long non-coding RNA of Erigeron canadensis, 1974 nucleotides long. RefSeq lists it as uncharacterized. The transcript has 2 exons. NCBI's taxonomy places the organism in Eukaryota, Viridiplantae, Streptophyta, Magnoliopsida, Asterales, Asteraceae. The record is from RefSeq and is a predicted model, not a curated record.